Molecule: transfer RNA, 17 nt
Filed under: Moraea pyrophila
Lineage: Eukaryota; Viridiplantae; Streptophyta; Magnoliopsida; Asparagales; Iridaceae
Description: partial tRNA-Phe
Source: RNAcentral
UAAAAGGUCGGGAUAGC